Non-coding RNA from Nelumbo nucifera (sacred lotus), 2376 nucleotides. Lineage: Eukaryota; Viridiplantae; Streptophyta; Magnoliopsida; Proteales; Nelumbonaceae. The record is from RefSeq and is a predicted model, not a curated record.
GCCAGAACAGUCAAAGAGAAAUCUGUUCCACCAUUGAAGAUUAAGCCCUUUCUUAUUUUUGUUCUUUGUUCCACCGGUCACCAAAUCGAGGGCAGGUCGAAAGCUGUUAGGGUUUCAAGCUUCUCACCAUUGAAGUUUUUUCUCAGUUCUGUUCUCAUCGCUACUAUUUCCUAGAGCUCAAUCGAAGCUUUAGAUAGAUUUUGUUGAAAAUGUCAGAAGUCUCAAGUUCUACUAGUGAAAAAAGAGGGUUUUUCAAAUGUAUGGGGGGUUUUUGAAAAGUUUAUUGAUGAUGAUGGACAACCAAAAGCGAAGUGUAAAUUUUGUGAGAAAACAUACAUUAUAGAUUCUGGUUACGACACAUCCAAUUUGAGAAGGCACAUGAAAAUAUGUAAAGAAAGGAUAGUCGAGACCCGUAGUCCUCGAAGUAGGAUUCAAAAAUUUGAUGAAGUUGCAUAUAGGGAAGUGAUGGCAAUGGCAAUAAUAAGGCAUGACUAUCCUCUCUCACAUGUAGAGCAUGAAGGAAAUAGAAAUGUUCAUAGUGUUUUGAAUUCUGAUGUUCAACAUAUUACAUGGAACACCAUUAAGGCUGAUAUUUUAAGAUUAUAUGAGAGAGAGAAGAAAAGGUUAUAUGAUUUGUUGCAUUCCAUCCAUGGUAGAAUUAAUCUUACAUUGGACAUGUGGACUUCUAUCACAACAGAGUCCUAUAUUUGCAUUACACUAUAUUUUGUGGAUUUUGAUUGGUGUUUGUAGAAGAGGAUACUCAGUUUUUGCCACUUUCCACCCCCUCACUCUGGUGCUGCCAUUACAGAUAUGGUUUCAAAAGUGUUGAAAGAGUGGGAAAUUGAGAAUAAAUUGUUCUCAAUUACAUUGGAUAAUGCUUCAGCUAAUGAAGCAUUUAUUAAUGUUUAUAGGUCUCGAUUGAAUUUUCAAAAGGCACUUUUGUAUGAUGGCAAAUUCCUUCAUGUGCGCUGUGCUGCACACAUUUUGAAUUUAAUAGUGAAGGAUGGGUCGAAAAUGAUAGAUGAAUCUGUAAUAAAAAUACGUAACAUUGUAAAAUUUGUCAAGGGUUCUGAAUCAUGAUUGAUGAAGUUCAUGGGAUGCGUCCAACAAUUUUCAAUGUAAUACAAAAGGAAGCUAGGCUUGGAUGUUCCUACAAGGUAGAAUUCAACCUAUCUUAUGCUUGAAAGAGCAAUUGGGUAUUAUAAGGUGUUUUUCCACUUGAAGUUAGUGGACCCAUACUAUCGUAACUGUCCAACUGAAGAUGAAUGGGUAAAGGUUGAAAAGAUUAUGGGCUUUUUUAGACCAUUUUAUGAAGUUACAAAUAUUUUCUCUGCAACAAAGUACCCAACUUCAAACUUGUUUUUCCAUAGAGUUUGUCAGAUCCAAGGAACUUUAAGAGAAGCAUUAGAAAGCACAGAUUGGUUUAUAAGCGUGAUGGCUAAACCCAUGCAAGAAAAUUUUGACAAAUAUUGGGCAGAGUAUAGUACUAUUUUGGCCAUUGCUGUAGUUUUGGAUCCUCGAUACAAGUUAAAGAUUGUGGAAUAUGCAUUUAUAAGGUUAUAUGGUGAGGAUGGGAAAGAUAAAAGUGUUCAUGUUCGAGACACAUUGUAUGAAUUAUUCAAAGAAUACAUGAAUCACUAUUCAUCCAUUGAUCUAAGUGCUUCCACAAUUCCAUCUGAGGGUAGUAACGCAACAUGUUACAAUGAAUAUGGCUUUAUGAAGGAUUAUGAUGCUUACGAAAGUCAAGUCUUUUAUACAAAUGAAAUGAAGUCGCAACUUGAUUUGUAUUUGGAGGAGCCAUAUGUUGAGAGACAAACUGAACUAGAUGUCGUAGCAUAUUGGAAGUCAUGUGAAAAACAAUUUCCCGAGUUGUCUCUGAUGGCUCGUGAUAUUUUGAGCAUUCCAAUUUCGACUGUGGCUUCUGAAGUAGCAUUUAGUGGAGGGGGAAGAUUAUUAAAUCAGUACCGUAUCUCUCUUGCCCCAAGAAUGGUUGAGACAUUGAUAUGCACUCGUGAUUAGUUAUUUGGGUCUGAAGAUAAAGCAGAAAAGGAUGAUGUAAACAUUGAUUUAGAGGUUGAUAUCUCCAAUUUUGAAAGCAUAUCCAUUCAAUCUGACUAGAAAGCAUCUCCCUAAGAUGGCGACAACAAAGAGAGUGAUAUUUGAUAGAAGAACUCCUUGUCAAACCAAUCAUUUUGCACUCCUUAGAAGAGCUCCUUGGUCUAAGUUUAUGAUCCAAAGCGAAGGUCUUGAGUGAUGCACGUGCAUAUAAACAAUUGUUUAGAUGCAAUGAGGAUAAUUUUGUUAAUUAUUUUUUCUUUUUGGUGAUGAAAAAAAUAAUUAAAUGAGUAUAUAGAACAAAGACUAUUAUGGAUAUUU